RNAcentral lists this ribosomal RNA (429 nucleotides) under Gemmatimonadota bacterium. Its description in RNAcentral is "Gemmatimonadetes bacterium partial 16S ribosomal RNA". It matches the Rfam family "Bacterial small subunit ribosomal RNA", at positions 355 to 776 of the family's 1533-position model. Lineage: Bacteria; Pseudomonadati; Gemmatimonadota. The record is from RNAcentral.
UAGGGAAUCUUCGGCAAUGGACGAAAGUCUGACCGAGCAACGCCGCGUGAGUGAAGAAGGUUUUCGGAUCGUAAAACUCUGUUGUUAGAGAAGAACAAGGACGUUAGUAACUGAACGUCCCCUGACGGUAUCUAACCAGAAAGCCACGGCUAACUACGUGCCAGCAGCCGCGGUAAUACGUAGGUGGCAAGCGUUGUCCGGAUUUAUUGGGCGUAAAGCGAGCGCAGGCGGUUUCUUAAGUCUGAUGUGAAAGCCCCCGGCUCAACCGGGGAGGGUCAUUGGAAACUGGGGGACUUGAGUUCAGAAGAGGAGAGUGGAAUUCCUUGUGUAGCGGUGAAAUGCGUAGAUAUAUGGAGGAACACCAGUGGCGAAGGCGGCUCUCUGGUCUGUAACUGACGCUGAGGCUCGAAAGCGUGGGGAGCAAACAGG